Molecule: small RNA, 84 nt
Filed under: Pseudomonas sp. ES3-33
Lineage: Bacteria; Pseudomonadati; Pseudomonadota; Gammaproteobacteria; Pseudomonadales; Pseudomonadaceae
Description: isrK
Source: RNAcentral
GUCGCUGCAAACUCAGCGACCGGGUGUGGAAACCCGAGUAAUUCAAGGCGCAACAGCGCUCCCAUCAUGUCUGCAGGUCUUUUU